GAUCCUGGCUCAGGAUGAACGCUGGCGGCGUGCUUAACACAUGCAAGUCGAACGAAGCAUUUGCGACAGAUUUCUUCGGGAUGAAGUUGCUUAUGACUGAGCGGGCGACGGGUGAAGGUAACGCGUGGGUAACCUGCCUUGUACUGGGGGAUAGCAGCUGGAAACGGCUGGUAAUACCGCAUAAGCGCACAAUGUUGCAUGACAUGGUGUGAAAAACUCCGGUGGUAUAAGAUGG
Molecule: ribosomal RNA, 235 nt
Filed under: uncultured bacterium
Lineage: Bacteria
Description: partial 16S ribosomal RNA
Rfam family: Bacterial small subunit ribosomal RNA
Source: RNAcentral